ACAAACUCCGGCUCGGUUCGUCCUUGGGCGCCUUUAAAGUACAGGUAGUAACAGGAUGCAAUUAAACGCCCUGUUUCUAAGAGGAAGAAAAUGAUCAGCCUGCAAAUCCCACAAAAGAGACAGGAAGUUGGAAGACUUUGUUCUUUAUUCCACUUUCAUUGAUGCCCACACAUACCACUUUGUGCUGUACUCAAAUAUUAUUUCACAAUCUGUCUCGCA
Molecule: long non-coding RNA, 219 nt
Organism: Pantherophis guttatus
Lineage: Eukaryota; Metazoa; Chordata; Lepidosauria; Squamata; Colubridae
Source: RefSeq, a predicted model, not a curated record